UGGGGAAUAUUGGACAAUGGGCGAAAGCCUGAUCCAGCAAUGCCGCGUGUGUGAUGAAGGGUCCCGGCUCGUAAAACACUGUUGUAAGAGAAGAAUGACAUUGAGAGUAACUGUUCAAUGUGUGACGGUAUCUUACCAGAAAGGAACGGCUAAAUACGUGCCAG
Molecule: ribosomal RNA, 164 nt
Filed under: uncultured bacterium
Lineage: Bacteria
Description: partial 16S ribosomal RNA
Rfam family: Bacterial small subunit ribosomal RNA
Source: RNAcentral